CAACACGCACGCUCGGGUUGUUUCUGGGUGGCGCCUCUCUCUCGCUCUCACUCUGAUACCGUCCUCUCUCUAUAAUUUUUUUUUUCGCGCUGCUCCGCCACACAACUCGCGUGCAAAACGUCUGCACACGCACAGAAACUCGCUGCGGAAACGUCGCACAGACGCGAGAACCGAACAUACUUCCUCCCUCCCCACUCCUUCCCGAUCCAUUCCAGUCUGCUUCCGUAUCUUGGUUGCACAAGCAAAUAGGGGUGGUGUCUCUGGGUACCGCUGGAUCGAGCGCGAACUUGUCUAUCAAGAGUGCGUCGCCCUCAGGCAACAGCUGCUAGUUGUGAGACCCACGAAGCAAGAGUAGCUGCAAGGCGAUAGAAUGAACACGACGGCACUCGUGCAGAUGUGGGCGCUCGUCGCUGUCGCGCUCUCCAUUACCGCGGCGCAAGUGGCGAGCGCUGACUCCAAGACAUACGUUGCACCGCACCCGACGGUGGGUCUCUCCUCCAAGGACGAGGAGUACCUUAUCGGCGUCGUUUCCUUCGCCGCAGUGGUGGUGGCUUGCUUCAUGGGUAUCGCCUCAAUGGUAAAGAUCGACUAUGAUGAUGACACGCUGCUCAUGGUGGAGGUGCCCGGGGACAUAAACCACGAGAAGGAGUAGGCGCCUGCGCGGAAUGCGGUGUCCACAAGUCACGUGCGUGCCGUAUGGUGCGUGUGGCUCAGCUGCCCUUGUUCGAUCACUCGCUCCGAGUGCCUGCGUAUACCCUCAUUCUCCUCCUCCGUCUUUACUUCUUCCCGGAGGCGCAGCGGCCGUAUAGGGGAGGAGGGAAGGUGGACAUUGGCGAUGCGGGUACAUGCGCUUGCUUCAAUAUCGAUGCAUAUAUAUAUAUAUGUAUAUCUGUGUGCGCCGAGGAGUUGGAUGAGCCUCGGCAACGAGAAGCGCGAGAGGAAAAAGAUCGAACCGCGUGCGAGGGAAGAGGUGGAAAUUUGAAAGAAUUUUAGGGCCCGUCCAUCACCCGUCCCCUUCCCCAUUUACUUUGCGCUGCGUGUGUGUGUGUGUGUGUGUUCACGUGCGGUGCCAGGCGUGCUAAAGACGGGUCUGCGUUCCCCGCUGCGAGCGCUUACCCGUAUUUGACGGUUUGUUGUUGUUGCUCAUCGCCUCACUGCGGCCGUGCCUUCGCGUUGGUGCGCGGCCGUCAUUGAGGCUUGAGCCGCAGGUGGAUCUCUCCCGUUGUUUUUUUAGUGGCGCUUGCUUGACAGCGUCGAGGCGAGACCAAAGCACAUGCCCUCACCGGUGAAGAGACGAGAGGGCCGCACCGCCGCGUGCUCGAACUCUCGAGCAGGGAAGAGAAAGGGGCACGUGUGAGGCACGAGUUCAUCCCGGCACGCGCAGACGGCGUAUUUUUGAACUGCCUGUCCACACUUACCCUGCGCCUCGAGAGCUCUACAUGGGUCUGCGUGGAUGUAAACAUGGAGCACGAACGUCAGCGCUCUGCCUGUCUGUCUUCUUGCGGUACCCCCCCCUCCUCCCUCCUCUCUGCCCCCUCCCUCCCUCCCUCCCCAUGCCCUUGCUCCACCGCCCACGGCGCACGAGAGCAUGCGCCGGUGCAUGUGGACCUCAAAGCGCCUUCAUCGCACUCUUGCCCGCGUUGUGCCCUGCCUUUGCUUCGCUCUGCCGCGGUGCACGUAGCAGAGUGGCCACCUCGAAACGCAAAGAGGGAGGGCGUAUCAAGACGACAACCUCCCCCACCCACCCAAGCCACCGCAACCACCCAUCCGGCACAGCCAGCGUGCGCUCCGUGUGUGUCGACCUUGUUUUUCCUUCGCACGGAUCCCUCUCACCGCAUAGACUCUAUACCCCCGCGUGCUCUCCCCCACCCCCUCCCACCUCCCUCCCUUACCCCCGAAG
This 1900-nucleotide unclassified non-coding RNA is filed under the name Leishmania donovani. RNAcentral describes it as "gene:LdHU3.19.0690(CDS-product:hypothetical_prote in_conserved)". The record is from RNAcentral. Lineage: Eukaryota; Euglenozoa; Kinetoplastea; Trypanosomatida; Trypanosomatidae.